Long non-coding RNA from Dreissena polymorpha, 3005 nucleotides. RefSeq lists it as uncharacterized. The transcript has 12 exons. The record is from RefSeq and is a predicted model, not a curated record. NCBI's taxonomy places the organism in Eukaryota, Metazoa, Mollusca, Bivalvia, Myida, Dreissenidae.
GUUGCUGGGACAGUAUGCAAAGAGCAAACAGCAGGUAGCGGUUUGAAGUGCAUUUGCGAUAGCAGCAAAUACAUGGUUAAGGCCUCGAACACAGACACAUGUGAAUGUAUGACCGGCUACACGGGCCCAUCCAUUUGUAUAGGCAACGUUGGAAGUACAUGUGCUGCCAAUGCAGAAUGUCUCACAAACGGUUAUUGUGGGUCCGAUAAAAAGUGCGCAUGCCGUCCAACCCACAAAGGGGCAUCCGGGGCGAAUUCCUGCACAGCAAUAGUGAUUACUGGCACUUGCACUGCUAGUGGUGGAGAGUGCAGCGCAUUGUCUAAUUCUUACUGCAACAUUGGAGUGACCCCCUCGGUGUGUACGUGCGCUACGAUUUUUCCCACAGGCGCCAGUUGCACGGCUAAAGUCUGUACAGUCGGCGGAAGUGAAUGCUCCAGCGUUGAUGCCAAUACGGUGUGUACAAGUCUUGCAUGUGCCUGUAAAGCAAACUACGGAAUCUUCUCAUCUGGAACAAAGGCUACGUGUCAGCCAGGUGUGGGUGCUGUCUGCACUGCAAGCGGUGGUGAAUGUGCGAACCUACCCGGUGGCUACUGCAAUACUGCUGUAGCAGCUCCUGUGUGCGCAUGUGGGGCGAUCUACACUGCUGGAGCACUCUCGUCGUGCGCUCCAAAAUCGUGCGAACCGGGCUCUACCACCUGCUCAGAUUCGGAUGCCAACUCCGAAUGUGGCAAAGGAUACUGUGUCUGCAAAUCGGGGACUACAAUGGGCAAGGCUGGAAAAUGUAAUGCUUUUUACUUCUAUAAUCACAAAAUAAUAACCAGUUUAAAGGGACUGUCCAAUGGAUUAGUUUACUGAAUUUAGAAGGCUAUUAUUUUGAGAUUAAUUAAUAACAUUCGUUAAUUUGAACCAUAUGCAACUCAACCUUUUGCUAAAAACUACAAAACUAAAGAGCAACAGCCAAAUUGUAUUACGACGUUUGCGUCUACCUUAGGAAAUCCCUUUCUAUUUCUAUUUCGCGCUUCGUGUCACGUGAUUCAGACACAAACAAACAAAAUGGCGGAGGCUUCAAAAUCUACAAUGAGCGAACCAGCAAAAACAGAGGGAGAGAUGAGAAGAAGUAAACGCGUGAGACAGCCAUCUAAGAGAAUGUUGUUGUAUUUUCAGGACACAGAUUCAGAUUCAAGUCUACAGAAGGGUAAAGGAAAACAUCCUGCCAGAAAGUUGAUACAUUAGCAACAACAACUAAGGGGACACUGGAACACCAUAGCACGUCUGACAAUGAACCUGUACUGGCUUUUGUUCCUUCAAGUUCUGAUGAGUCUGAAGGAGAACCACUCAGUGAGAGAGAGGAUGAUUUAAGAACCAAAUGAAAGGGAAGGAAAAGAGGAAGUAAGAAAGUGAAAGGGCGCUGUUAUGUCCAUGAAGAACAAGAAAAAAAAUCUAAGGGAAUAAUUGAAAGUCUUACAGUCACCGAAAGGAAAGAAUUUAGAUAUUGCUAGAAUUUUAUCAAAAAGGAAAGAGAAAAAGGAACAAGACCUGUGUCCAGUCCGGAGUGGUGCUCUUGUCACAGAUGCCCACAAUACGAGAGAGUGGAAGAUCGAGUUUGCUGUGGGAUGGUCCCAGAAUUAUGCUCAAGUCAAAGACCUGAGAUGACUCUAUCGGUGCUGGAUAGGAUGACCCUCUACAGUCAGCAGCAGUAUCGACAAGAUGUGUUUUCCUUUUAUGCAGAGACACUAGAAGAUGUAAAUAAAUCGUUCAGACAUGCUGCAUACAGACAAUUUACCAUCUUAAUGCAUGGGAAACUGACUGCUGGAGACAGAAGAACUGUACCAGCAUGUUGUGUUAAAUUAAUAAGGGAGAAGUUUCCUAGUCUUUCAGGCCAGUAUACAGGCUUCAUACCAGGUGAAGGCCCAGUGUUCUAACAAUUUUGCAUAUUUAUGCCCCCCUUCAAAGAAGAGGGGGUUUAUUGUUUUGCACAUGUCGGUCCGUCCACCAGAUGGUUUCCAGAUGAUAACUUAGGAACGUUAAGGGCUAGGAUCAUGAAACUUCAUAGGUACAUUGAUCAUGACUGGUGAUCAUGACUGGCAAAUGACCCCUAUUGAUUUUCAGGUCACUAGGUCAAUGGUCAGUGACUAGAAACAGUAAAACGGUUUCCGGAUGAUAACUCAAGAAUGCUAACGCCUAUGAUCUUUAAACUUAAUAGGUAAAUUGAUCAUAACAGGCAGAUGACCUCUUUAGAUUUUCAGGUCACUAGGUCAAGGACACAAUGACUCGAAACAAUAAAAUGGUUUCCGGAUGAUAUCUCUAGAAUGCUUACGCCUAGGAUCAUGCAACUUCAUAGGUACAUUGAUAAUGACUGGCAGAUGACCCCUAUUGAUUUUCAGGUCACUAGGUCAAGCUCACAGUGACUCGAAAUAGUAAAAUGGUUUCCUGAUGAUAACUCAAGAAUAAUGAGGCUUAGGAUCAUGAAACUUCAUGGGUACAUUGAUCAUGACUGACAGAUGGCCCCUACUAAUUUUCAGGUCACUAUGUCAAAGGUCAAGGUCAGAGUGACAAAAAACGUAUUCACACAAUGGCUGCAACUACAACUGACAGCCCAUAUGGGGGGGCAUGCAUGUUUUACAAAAAGCCUAGUUGCUAUUCUUUUUCAUUUAUCAGACAUAGAACUUUCUUAGUUUUGAAUAUUUUUUGUUCUCGCCUCUUUUUUGAAACAUUUAUAUUUAUGCAAAGCAUUUGAAUUAUGCUUAAUCAUUUGAAUUUUUCAGUUCUAUGCAUUUUGUUUUGAAAUACCAAUUUGUGUGAAAUGUGCUAGUUUAUUAUUAAAACUUGCACAGCAGUUUUUACAUUUGUACGUUACUUGCGUGUCAUUUGGAAUGAAAUGCCAUGAGUACUCUGGAUUGUAAGAUGAAAGAAAUAAAAGAAGCAAUGACAUAUUUCUUAAGAAUACUAUGUAAAUAAACUAAUUGAAUAUCAAAAUUCAUUUCUUGUAUACUUAUUUUUAUUUU